RNAcentral lists this ribosomal RNA (1259 nucleotides) under human gut metagenome. RNAcentral describes it as "bacterial LSU rRNA". It matches the Rfam family "Bacterial large subunit ribosomal RNA", at positions 1228 to 2495 of the family's 2925-position model. The record is from RNAcentral.
GUAGGGGAGCGUUCCAUGAACGGAGAAGUACGACCGAAAGGACGUGUGGAGAUCAUGGAAGAGAGAAUGCCGGUGUGAGUAGCGGAACGUGGGUGAGAAUCCCACGCACCGAAAACCCAAGGUUUCCAGAGGAAGGUUCGUCCGCUCUGGGUAAGUCGGGACCUAAGGCGAGGCCGAAAGGCGUAGUCGAUGGACAACAGGUAGAGAUUCCUGUACCCGUAUAUAUGUGAAGGAAUGACGGAGAGAGGAAGCUGCAGCCAGCGGCUGGAAGAGCUGGUGCAAGCGAGAUAUCGGGAUGGCAGGCAAAUCCACCAUCCGAAACGAGAAGGCGUGAAGCGUACGGAAAGCUACGGCGAGUACGGAAGGCAGUGGAGGAACUUCCAAGAAAAGUUUCUAACGUUAAGUAUAUAUGGCCCGUACCGAAAAUGGACACACAUGGGUGAGGAGAGAAUCCUAAGGUGAGCGAGAGAACUAUAGCUAAGGAACUCUGCAAAAUGACUCCGUAACUUAGGGAGAAGGAGUGCUCAUAGAGAUAUGAGCCGCAGUGAAACGGCCCAAGCGACUGUUUACCAAAAACACAGCUCUCUGCUAAGCCGCAAGGCGAAGUAUAGGGGGUGACGCCUGCCCGGUGCUGGAAGGUUAAGGGGAGGGGUUAACGCAAGUGAAGCCCUGAACUGAAGCCCCAGUAAACGGCGGCCGUAACUAUAACGGUCCUAAGGUAGCGAAAUUCCUUGUCAGGUAAGUUCUGACCCGCACGAAAGGCGUAACGAUUUGGGCGCUGUCUCAGCUGUAGACUCGGUGAAGUCUUAGUACCUGUGAAGAUGCAGGUUACCCGCGACUAGACGGAAAGACCCCAUGGAGCUUCACUGCAGGUUGAUAUUGGGAUUUGAUGCAGCAUGUACAGGAUAGGUAGGAGGCAAAGAGAUGGAUACGCCAGUAUUCAAGGAGCCGCUGUUGGGAUACUACCCCUGUUGUAUUGGAUUUCUAACCGGACGACGUAGAGCCGUUGACGGGACAGUGUCAGUCGGGCAGUUUGACUGGGGCGGUCGCCUCCCAAAGAGUAACGGAGGCGCCCAAAGAUACCCUCAGCUUGGAUGGAAACCAAGCGCAGAGUGCAAAGGCAAAAGGGUGUUUGACUGCGAGACCCACAAGUCGAGCAGGGACGAAAGUCGGGCUUAGUGAUCCGGCGGUGCUGAAUGGAAAGGCCGUCGCUCAACGGAUAAAAGCUACCCUGGGGAUAACAGGCUGAUCUCCCCCAA